This 385-nucleotide ribosomal RNA is filed under the name uncultured bacterium. RNAcentral describes it as "bacterial SSU rRNA". It matches the Rfam family "Bacterial small subunit ribosomal RNA", at positions 29 to 416 of the family's 1533-position model. The record is from RNAcentral.
AUUGAACGCUGGCGGCGUGCCUAACACAUGCAAGUCGAGCGGCAGCGGGCCCGCAAGGGUGCCGGCGAGCGGCGGACGGGUGAGCAAUACAUAGGAAUCUGCCUUAGAGCGGGGGAUAGCCAGGGGAAACCCUGAUUAAUACCGCAUGAUGUCGAGAGACCAAAGUGGGGGAUCGUAAGACCUCACACUCUAAGAUGAGCCUAUGUCGGAUUAGCUAGUGGCGGGGUAACGGCCCACCAAGGCGACGAUCCGUAGCUGGUCUGAGAGGACGAUCAGCCACACCGGAACUGAGACACGGUCCGGACUCCUACGGGAGGCAGCAGUGGGGAAUAUUGGACAAUGGGCGAAAGCCUGAUCCAGCGACGCCGCGUGGGUGAAGAAGGCC